UACGGGGGGAGCAAGCGUUGUUCGGAUUUACUGGGCGUAAAGGGCGCGCAGGCGGCUCAUUUUGUCAGGCGUGAAAGCCCCGGGCUUAACCUGGGAACUGCGUUUGAUACGGAUGGGCUAGAGUUCGGGAGAGGAGAGUGGAAUUCCCAGUGUAGAGGUGAAAUUCGUAGAUAUUGGGAAGAACACCGGUGGCGAAGGCGGCUCUCUGGACCGAUACUGACGCUGAGGCGCGAAAGCGUGGGGAGCAAACAGG
This 253-nucleotide ribosomal RNA is filed under the name uncultured bacterium. RNAcentral describes it as "partial 16S ribosomal RNA". It matches the Rfam family "Bacterial small subunit ribosomal RNA", at positions 524 to 776 of the family's 1533-position model. The record is from RNAcentral.